Prunus avium (sweet cherry) is the source of this 415-nucleotide non-coding RNA. The record is from RefSeq and is a predicted model, not a curated record. NCBI's taxonomy places the organism in Eukaryota, Viridiplantae, Streptophyta, Magnoliopsida, Rosales, Rosaceae.
AAAAAAAAAGCUUCAGUCCCUUCAUCGUCAUCACUAGCUGCCCUCUCAUCCACAAACCACCGGCGACGACGACCACUCCUCCUCUCUCUCUCUCUCUCUCUCUCUCUCUCUCUCUCUCUCCCCCUUUGGGUGACCCAUUGUCUCCCACAUUCAAUCACCAACAAAUUCUCAUUUCAAUCUAUUCCCUCGAUAAUGACCACAGCUAAUUAAGUCCUCCUUCCACUUGUAAUCUCUCAUCCCCUUGACCCCCACUCUAAAAAACCCACAGUGCUCUUGGUCAAUUUUGCUAGUUUUCGUUCUGUUCGAGGUUUUGGUCUUUUUGUGUUCCAAAUCACCCUAUACCCAUUUGUAGAAAGGCUUCUUGGUCCUGUAAUGAUUGCUCGCAUUGGAGGGAUUAUCACAAUACCUCUGCUGU